GCUGGCGGCAUGGAUUAGGCAUGCAAGUCGAACGAGAAGCUCUAGCUUGCUAGAGUGGAUAGUGGCGAAAGGGUGAGUAACGCGUGAACAAUUUGCCCCUAAGAUGGGAAUAGCCUCGGGAAACUGGGAUUAAUACCGAAUGUGAUCUUCUGUCGCAUGACAGAAUGAUUAAAGAUUUAUUACUUAGGGAUGAGUUCGCGUUCCAUUAGCUUGUUGGUGGGGUAACGGCCUACCAAGGCGACGAUGGAUAGCUGGUCUGAGAGGAUGAUCAGCCACACUGGGACUGAGACACUGCCCAGACUCCUACGGGAGGCUGCAGUCGAGAAUCUUCCGCAAUGGGCGAAAGCCUGACGGAGCAAUGCCGCGUGCAGGAUGAAGGCCCUUGGGUCGUAAACUGCUGUCACCUGGGAAGAACAUAAUGACGGUACCAGGAGAGGAAGCACCGGCUAACUACGUGCCAGCAGCCGCGGUAAUACGGAGGGUGCAAGCGUUGUUCGGAUUUAUUGGGCGUAAAGGGUCCGCAGGGGGUCCGCCAAGUCUGAUGUGAAAUCCCGAGGCUCAACCGUGGAACUGCAUUGGAAACUGAAAGACUAGAGUAUUGGAGAGGUAAGUGGAAUUCCUGGUGGAGCGGUGGAAUGCGUAGAUAUCAGGAAGAACACCGAGAGCGAAGGCAGCUUACUGGACAAUUACUGACCCUCAGGGACGAAAGCAUGGGUAGCAAACAGGAUUAGAUACCCUGGUAGUCCAUGCCGUAAACGUUGUAUACUAGAUGUGGGAGGAUUUAUCCCCUUCCGUGAUGCACUUAACAGAUUAAGUGUUCCGCCUGGGGAGUACGGUCGCAAGAUUAAAACUCAAAGGAAUAGACGGGGACCCGCACAAGUGGUGGAGCAUGUGGUUUAAUUCGAAUAUACGCGAAGAACCUUACCUAGCCUUGACAUUGAUUGAACGGACCAGAGAUGGACCGGUGCCCUUCGGGGAGCAUGAAAACAGGUGCUGCACGGCUGUCGUCAGCUCGUGUCGUGAGAUGUUGGGUUAAGUCCCGCAACGAGCGCAACCCUCGUCCUUAGUUGCCAGCAGGUUAAGCUGGGCACUCUAAGGAGACUGCCUUCGCAAGGAGGAGGAAGGUGAGGACGACGUCAAGUCAUCAUGGCCCUUACGGCUAGGGCUACACACGUGCGACAAUGGGGCGUACAGAGUGUUGCGAUACCGCGAGGUGGAGCUAAUCACUUAAAGCGUCUCUCAGUUCGGAUUGGAGUCUGCAACUAGACUCCAUGAAGCUGGAAUCACUAGUAAUCGUAGAUCAGCAAUGCUACGGUGAAUACGUUCCCGGGUCUUGUACUCACCGCCGUCACACCAUGGGAGUUGAUUUCACCCGAAAUUGGGAAGCUAACCUUCGGGAGGCUACCACUUACGGUGGAAUUAGCGACUGG
This 1430-nucleotide ribosomal RNA is filed under the name uncultured prokaryote. Its description in RNAcentral is "partial 16S ribosomal RNA". It matches the Rfam family "Bacterial small subunit ribosomal RNA". The record is from RNAcentral.